Molecule: non-coding RNA, 987 nt
Organism: Delphinapterus leucas (beluga whale)
Lineage: Eukaryota; Metazoa; Chordata; Mammalia; Artiodactyla; Monodontidae
Source: RefSeq, a predicted model, not a curated record
UGACAACCUAUGCCAGACCCGUGAGCUAAUUUACGUGACUGGACAUGUGAACGCGUUUGCAUCUUUGAAAGUUCGCGACCUGAAGGUUCAUAGGAAUUAUUCUUCUUUGUUGCGUGAUAUCCAGCGUCUUGAAGAUCAUUGCUUCAUGUAUUUUUUUUUUCCUGGUUUUUGGUGACUAUGAAGAAAAAUAGAGCAAGGUAGGGGAUGGAGAUCAACGUGGAAUAGAGUAUAGAUUUGGAUAGGCUGCUCAGGACCGUCUAUGAGGGCUUAAUUUGAAGAAACGAUGAAGUAACAGAAGGAGUGAGCUACGAGGCUAUCUUGGGGAAGAAUGUUUCAGGUGGAAAGAGGCUGGAGAAUUGAGGCUGAAUCAGCAAGAGACCAAAAAGGAGCAGCCAGUGAGAUGGGACAAAACACAGGAAAGCGUGGAAUCGUGAAAGCCUGGCACUCAGAAAGCAUUUCAAGUACUAGGAAGGGAUCAACCUUAUCGAGUGUUACAGAGAGAUCGAGAAAGAUGAAAACUAAGAAUUGAUAUUGGAUUAUUCAACAUGCAGGUAGGUCUUCAGGGAUAGUUCCUUUCUUAUUAUCUCACAAGCCUCAAAUAUUGGAGGCAUUGCAUUUAUUAAAUUAAAUUCAGGUUGUUGAAGGUCACUGUGGGAUCGGUGCCCUACCAUCUGAGGGAUGAUGGAACACCGUCCUAGAAGGGCUGCCUUGUGGAGCUCCUUCAAGCAACAUGAGCAGUGACCUCGUAGUGGAUGGGCUUGCCUUCUUCCCAGGGGAUAGGGAUCGUCUCUUGACCAGGAUCUAAAGGAAGAAGUCAGUAUUCCAUUCAGAGUUUAUUUCUUUGUUUAAUUUUGAAUAUUAUCAUAUUCUAUAUGUACCCCCAAAGAUACUAGGAAUCCACGAGAACCCAAAGGUACGACUUGAUAAAGAAAACUCUCCUUUUCACUCCAUUAAAAAUAUUACACUCCACCUGUGAUUAAAAAGAGA